This 99-nucleotide non-coding RNA is filed under the name Firmicutes bacterium CAG:124. Its description in RNAcentral is "Purine riboswitch aptamer". It matches the Rfam family "Purine riboswitch aptamer". Rfam says of the family: Riboswitches are metabolite binding domains within certain messenger RNAs that serve as precision sensors for their corresponding targets. RNAcentral also lists the same sequence under 1 other name. Lineage: Bacteria; Bacillati; Bacillota. The record is from Rfam by way of RNAcentral.
CACGAAGUUUAUAUCGUUGCCAAUAUAGUUCCGGAUGUACGGCCCGGAUGUCUCUACCGCAGCGCCAAAGCUGCGACUAUUGGAAGUUCGCUCACGCAG